RNAcentral lists this ribosomal RNA (762 nucleotides) under uncultured Nocardioides sp. RNAcentral describes it as "bacterial SSU rRNA". It matches the Rfam family "Bacterial small subunit ribosomal RNA", at positions 66 to 840 of the family's 1533-position model. The record is from RNAcentral. Lineage: Bacteria; Bacillati; Actinomycetota; Actinomycetes; Propionibacteriales; Nocardioidaceae.
GCGGAAAGGCCCUUUCGGGGGUACUCGAGCGGCGAACGGGUGAGUAACACGUGAGUAAUCUGCCUCUGGCUUCGGGAUAGCCACCGGAAACGGUGAUUAAUACCGGAUACGACACAUCACUGCAUGGUGCGUGUGUGGAAGGUUUUUUCGGCCAGGGAUGUGCUCGCGGCCUAUCAGCUUGUUGGUGGGGUAAUGGCCUACCAAGGCUUCGACGGGUAGCCGGCCUGAGAGGGUGACCGGCCACACUGGGACUGAGACACGCGCCAGACUCCUACGGGAGGCAGCAGUCGGGAAUAUUGGACAAUGGGCGGAAGCCUGAUCCAGCCACGCCGCGUGAGGGAUGACGGCCUUCGGGUUGUAAACCUCUUUCAGCACAGACGAAGCGCAAGUCACGGUAUGUGCAGAAGAAGGACCGGGCAACUACGUGCCAGCAGCCGCGGUAAUACGUAGGGUCCGAGCGUUGUCCGGAAUUAUUGGGCGUAAAGGGCUCGUAGGCGGUUUGUCGCGUCGGGAGUGAAAACACCGGGCUUAACUCGGUGCUUGCUUUCGAUACGGGCAGACUAGGGGCAUUCAGGGGAGAACGGAAUUCCUGGUGUAGCGGUGAAAUGCGCAGAUAUCAGGAGGAACACCGGUGGCGAAGGCGGUUCUCUGGGAAUGUCCUGACGCUGAGGAGCGAAAGUGUGGGGAGCGAACAGGAUUAGAUACCCUGGUAGUCCACACCGUAAACGUUGGGCGCUAGGUGUGGGAUCCAUUCCACGGGUU